UAAAUAGUCACAUGAAAUAGCCAUUGGAUUGAUCCAUAUGGAAUCUUUUUGGUAACUGCUUUGUACUGGAUCUCUGCAGAUGUACCCUGCUCAAACCGAAUGUACCAUUUCUUAAGAAUUGAGGAAAAAGUCCUAAGAACCUCCCUUGACAGAGAUUUUCAAGGAAGAGUAUUAGCAUCGGGAUAAAACAAGGUUUCUCACAUCUCCUUCCUUCCUAAGCAAUCACUGCGAUCUUUAAACAAAAGAUCACAGUAAAAUGCGGUAUUUUGUGGCGCUGUUCGCCACAGCCACAAGAGGGGGUUUGAAGAACGCAAUCUGCUUCCCACUUCCAGCCUGAGCCUUCCCCUGUGCACACGGUAUGUUAGAAGUAUCAUGAAACCAGUGAUUUCCCGAAAUGACUGAAAUUUUCAGUCAUUUUUCAAAUGACUCCUUCAGUCACUCAUUUGGUAAAAUGACUAAAAGUUUCGUGUGCUCUACAAAGUGACUGACGUGCUGCAAAUUCCGCCAGACUGUUUGGCUGCUUCACCCAGUAUCAGGCAUAUUGGGAAAAGGGAUGUUAUUGGAUAAAGAUCCUUUGCUUUUUUCUGCACUGGCUGCUGGGCAUGACUCUGGAUUUUGAAGGUGUGAAAUUCUAUGGCUGGUGGCAAGAAGCAGCUAAUCAAAACCACUGGACUAAAGAAGCAUUUCCUACAUACUGUGUGAACGUUGAAGAGAGAAAGGAGAAAAAAAGCAACAGACAUGGAGUAAACAGGUGAAAGAACAUGGUUUGACCUUAAGGGUAGAGCAUGAGUGACAUGAAAGGAGGAAGGAAUGACUCACACGGGCAUGAAGAUGGAUGAGUUUGCUACUGGUUUAAUAUUACCUGUGCAGCCCUAACGCAGGCAUAGGACAGACCUCCAUGUAUCAUAUCAACUUCACAGACUGCUGGAAAAACUGAUGCUGACUUUCAGAAAGGUUCUGGAUUC
RNAcentral lists this long non-coding RNA (965 nucleotides) under Zonotrichia albicollis (white-throated sparrow). RNAcentral's name for it is "lncRNA (ENSZALG00000008713.1)". The record is from RNAcentral. Lineage: Eukaryota; Metazoa; Chordata; Aves; Passeriformes; Passerellidae.